This 1183-nucleotide long non-coding RNA is filed under the name Papio anubis (olive baboon). RNAcentral describes it as "lncRNA (ENSPANG00000037732.1)". Lineage: Eukaryota; Metazoa; Chordata; Mammalia; Primates; Cercopithecidae. The record is from RNAcentral.
AUGUUGAAGGAGUUCUAUGUCCCCCAGAGAGGGCUUUCCAUAAGAAGAAGGGUCUUGGCUUCUUUCUGUCUGAGAGAAACCAGUUCACCAGAUGGUGAGACAUGGAGAGUGGCAGAGCGACCUUUCUGUGUUCUCUUUGUUGGGAAUCCACCUGCCUGCAGAGGGCACGUGUCAGUUGUAUACAGAUGAGCAGAAAACAGGAAGAAUUAAACACCCACUCUAAGCACUGAGCACACCAAGUUAAGAAAAGCUGUUUUGGAUUUCACACCAGGUAGGAACUGAGAAGCUAAGGAUUAGGCCCAACAAGGAAGAAUAAAGGCAGGAGAAGGGACCUUCAGUCAUAGCUGUUAUCAGCCUUGGGCCGGCUUCACAAGGAAAUUUGAGAGUAACUCAAGCUUUGGUAAACACUCAUAUGAAUUGUCCGGAGAUGCCUGGGGAAAGAGAAUGAAAGUGAGAGGAUAAGGAACCUUGGGGCAGGAACCCAGAUGGAAAUUAUUACAGGAGAGUAAUUAAAAUGCCGUGACAACUCUCUGAAGUUGAAAGAGAACAGUGCACUGGAGUCUAAGGCUUUGUCCUUUUCCGGCUGUAACCAUUGCCUUCCUGUCUCCUUCAUAGACCUCAAUCAUGGAGAUCCGUAAAAGACAGUCAUCACUGAUACCUUGCUAUUUUUUUGAUUUUUAAAAAAAUGUUAUUGUACAGGCGUCUUUACUUUGCAUUAACACAUGAUGCAUCUCAGGUGAACAUGUUGAGAUAGUCUCCAGGGAAGUUGGUAAGGAGGGAUGAUGGGGAAGACACACAAAAUGUCUGCCCCUUCUGAGAUAGGAUUGCCAAGGAGCUGGCUAAUGAGGGUGCACAACAGUGUGCCUUCACCAGCACUCCCAAGGGUAUAAAUAAAGGAGUUAAAUGAGUACCUGCUAUACCCAUACAGACAGUCCGGAGUGUACAGAGGGAGCAUGACAGGGUACGGCCUGCCACAAGUCUUAUACCAGCCUCCACCCUAGACAGAAAAAUCUAACUUCCUUCUGGAGACUUCCAACUGCCCAUCCUACUGAUAAAGCAACAGCAACAAAGAGACAAUUGUGGUUGCUCACAGAUUUGCAGGUGGGAAAUGCAGAAAAACUCUGGUCCAGAGUAAAAACAGCUUAUCUUACAUGUCCUGAUUCUUCUCCAUCAUCUCUACCAC